UACGGAGGGUGCAAGCGUUAAUCGGAAUUACUGGGCGUAAAGCGAGCGUAGUCGGUUAUUUAAGUCGGAUGUGAAAUCCCCGGGCUCAACCUGGGAAUUGCAUUCGAUACUGGAUAGCUAGAGUUCGGCAGAGGGAAGCGGAAUUUCUGGUGUAGCGGUGAAAUGCGUAGAUAUCAGAAGGAACAUCAGUGGCGAAAGCGGCUUCCUGGACCAGAACUGACGAUCAGGCUCGAAAGCGUGGGGAGCAAACAGG
Molecule: ribosomal RNA, 253 nt
Filed under: uncultured bacterium
Lineage: Bacteria
Description: partial 16S ribosomal RNA
Rfam family: Bacterial small subunit ribosomal RNA
Source: RNAcentral